Molecule: ribosomal RNA, 613 nt
Filed under: uncultured bacterium
Lineage: Bacteria
Description: bacterial SSU rRNA
Rfam family: Bacterial small subunit ribosomal RNA
Source: RNAcentral
GAACGCUGGCGGCGUGCCUAACACAUGCAAGUCGAGCGGACCAGAAAUGGAGAUAACUUUAUUUCUGGUUAGCGGCGAACGGGUGAGUAACACGUGGGUAACCUGCCCUCAGGAGGAGGAUAACUCGGGGAAACCUGAGCUAAUACUCCAUAAGACCACGAGCUGAAAUGCUUGUGGUAAAAGAAGCAAUUCACCUGAGGAUGGGCCCGCGGCCUAUCAGGUAGUUGGUAGGGUAAUGGCCUACCAAGCCUAUGACGGGUAGCCGAGCUGAGAGGCUGGCCGGCCACACUGGGACUGAGACACGGCCCAGACUCCUACGGGAGGCAGCAGUGGGGAAUAUUGGGCAAUGGGCGAAAGCCUGACCCAGCGACGCCGCGUGGGGGAAGAAGGCCUUCGGGUUGUAAACCCCUUUUGCAGGGGACGACACAGGACGGUACCCUGCGAAUAAGCCACGGCUAACUCUGUGCCAGCAGCCGCGGUAAGACAGAGGUGGCAAGCGUUGCUCGGAUUCACUGGGCUUAAAGGGCGCGUAGGUGGUUUUGUAAGUCUAAGGUGGAAUUCCACAGCUUAACUGUGGGACUGCCUUUGAUACUGCAAGGCUUGAGUCAGGCAG